GGGGGGCCCAAGAAAUGUUUUUGAGAAAUCCAGGUUCUCAAUUUUGAAUUCCUUCCUAAUUCCACCCUACCCCUCGUAUCCUAUCAUAGGUAAAAAAAAUUAAUACAUGAAAAUUCAACAUUUAUUAAACACCUUUUUUUUUUUUGGUAAUAGGCACUAUACUAGAAGCUAGGGAAGAAGAGUCAAAAAUAAAAGAAUUUCUGUUCUCAAAGAGCUUCAAUCUGCUGAAGGGACUUUCCUCGCACAUAAGCCAUACACGAACCUAAGUCCUAACUGCAAGACUAGCCUUUUAAAGUGGUCAUUGUUGGGUUUCAUUUUUGUCCAAGUGGACACUAACUCCCAAGGUAAGAUGGGGAGAAAGCAGAUGCCUUUCCUCUAUGAAUUUUUAUUUUUCAUUUCUCUUUUUGUAAAGUUUAAUCAUUUAGAUCAAUGA
RNAcentral lists this long non-coding RNA (433 nucleotides) under Monodelphis domestica (gray short-tailed opossum). RNAcentral's name for it is "lncRNA (ENSMODG00000046973.1)". The record is from RNAcentral. Lineage: Eukaryota; Metazoa; Chordata; Mammalia; Didelphimorphia; Didelphidae.